UGUUCACUGCCGGUCAUAGACUCCCGAAGGGAAGAACAGCAAGCGUCCAAACGCAGUCGGACCUACUGGGUAAGAACGAUACCAUUGCCAAGGGCCAGUCUAGGAGUGGAGAACUGCAGAAACUCACGCAGGAGAGCAGAGCUGAGAAGCCCAGGAAGGGGCGAGAGCUCGCGUUCCUGCAGAGAACCGGACCUCGGAGAGGAGCUAAUUUAGGAAGACAACCAGAGAUGAAAUGUUAGAUUUAAAGGUUACCAGGAGCAACCCCUCGACCCCAUAGAUCAUUCCCCAGCUCUCAGCCCAGAGAGGAAAUACAGCUCGGACACUAUUCCUAAACUUUGACGGCUGGGGAGUUCAAAGAGGAUCAUUAAAGCUGUUAGAGGAAGUGACUGCAGAAGAGAAAGGCAGAAUUAAGAGGAACAAGUUGUUCUAAGAAGCUACUGCAUCCGUCUGAUCCAGGGAGCACUCUACCAAGAGCAAGACCAGAUUUCUUAGCAAUGACACCAAGCAACUGGCAUGUUACUACGGAGAAAACAAACAGACCACAGCAUAGAGUAUUAAGCAGAGACAAUGCAACUGCCACUGAAAGGGACUUACUUAGAAAACAGAGAGGCUCACUUUAAAAAAAAAACAAAACAGUUUCCUGUUGAGAAUUUACCUCAAGAUGAAGUAGUUGGAGAGGACAGCUGUGGUAUGUUA
Mauremys reevesii (Reeves's turtle) is the source of this 696-nucleotide long non-coding RNA. RefSeq lists it as uncharacterized. The transcript has 3 exons. The record is from RefSeq and is a predicted model, not a curated record. NCBI's taxonomy places the organism in Eukaryota, Metazoa, Chordata, Testudines, Geoemydidae.